ACUAUAUUGACAGAUUAGUGUAUUGAAUUUAGAAUUCAAAAAAGUAAAAAUUGUUUUACAUAUAGUA
Molecule: transfer RNA, 67 nt
Filed under: Conocephalus differentus
Lineage: Eukaryota; Metazoa; Arthropoda; Insecta; Orthoptera; Tettigoniidae
Description: tRNA-Leu
Source: RNAcentral